AUUGAACGCUGGCGGCAGGCCUAACACAUGCAAGUCGAACGAGUGGCGGACGGGUGAGUAAUGUUUGGGAAACCGCCCGAUGGAGGGGGAUAACUACUGGAAACGGUAGCUAAUACCGCAUACCAUCGGAUGUGCCCAGAUGGGAUUAGCUAGUUGGUGUGGUAACGGCUCACCUAGGCGACGAUCCCUAGCUGGUCUGAGAGGAUGACCAGCCACACUGGAACUGAGACACGGCCAAGACUCCGACGGGAGCCAGCAGUGGGGAAUAGUGCGCAAUGGGCGCAAGCCUGAUGCAGCCAUGCCGCGUGGAUGAAGAAGUCCUUCGGGUUGUAAAGUUCUUUCGGCGAGGAGGCGUUACCUGCAGAAGAAGCACCGGCUAACUCCGUGCCAGCAGCCGCGGUAAUUC
This 406-nucleotide ribosomal RNA is filed under the name uncultured bacterium. RNAcentral's name for it is "partial 16S ribosomal RNA". It matches the Rfam family "Bacterial small subunit ribosomal RNA", at positions 30 to 526 of the family's 1533-position model. The record is from RNAcentral.